UGGUUCCAAAGGUGGUUUUUACUCAUUUUUGGGGUUUUUCUCUUCAUUUCUUUUCCGAUUGAUCCAAGGUAUGGGGGUUUCUAUGUUUUCUUAAUGAGUUAUGUCAUGUUGAGGCUGAAAUUGGGAUGUGUGGGAGUUGGGAAAACUCAUUGAGUCAUUAAACUGAUUCUGUUAUGUUUUGUAUUUUUGGGCUGAGAGUAAUUUUGAAUUUUCAUUUAUUUUUGGGACUAUGUUUUUCAUAAGUUGGACAUGUCCAAACAUUUUCAUACCGUCUCGAACCAUUAAAAAUAAUAUCAAGUCAUUUUGACCACGGCAACUAUUUUAUUUCUAAUUUUUAUUGCAAAAAUGAUGUUUUGUACUGAGACAGUUUUUGUUUUUUAAUUAUUUGUGAUUUUUUGUUUGAGAAACUGUUUUAAUCAUAGCAUGAAAUGACCCUAGGAAGUAUCUGUAAAAAUUGGAUAAGCCUUAUUGUGCGUGAAGUUGAAAAACAUGGCAUUUUCAGAAGUUAACUUUAAUUGGGGGAAAUUACUUUUUGGAACAAAAAAACUGUGGUUUCUUAUUUUAUUAUGGAUCUCUGUACCAUUAGAAACAUGUGUGAUUUUUCUGGAAUUUUAGAUAAUUAGUUUACCAUUUUUUCCUCAAUAAAUGUUAUAUUCCGGGGCAGCCAAGAAAAAGAAUUGUUGUAAAAAUAUUUGUGGUGUGAAUUUGAACCUCUAGGAUUUAUAUGUUAUGGUUAAUAUGUUGAGGAUGAUGCCUGUUAAGUUUUGUAAGAAACAAUAUUUUAGAAAAAUGAAAAAUUGUAACAUUUUGCAUGUGCACAUAUUUGAUAAUUAAAUACAAAUAAAUAUUAUCUGUAUGGAAAAUGGCAUGAGGAAUUUUUAAGUUUCACUAAUUUCGGAGCUAAUUUGAUAUUUUUAAAAUUUUCAUGUUAGAAAACUUGACAAUUAACAUAUUAAUUCUCUUAUUAGUACGAUUACUCUUGGAUAGAAUUUGCGACUCGUGUUGCUAAAUGUUGAGAUUGGUUCUAUUAUGAGAUUGUUUCUAUCAUGAGAAUGCUUCUAUUUUGAGAUUACUUUUACUUUGAGAUUGCUAAUAUUAUGAGGUUUGAUGUAAGCUUCAUUGGAGCUUGUAGGCCUAAGAUUUUCUUCAUCAAUGGAUUCCUUUGCUUCUUGGAGGAUGAAUGCUAGUGGAAUGGAGAAGGAAGAGAGAGAGGAGACGCCACUUCAAGGAGAAGAUGAGUUUAGAAGAAGC
This 1251-nucleotide long non-coding RNA is filed under the name Glycine max (soybean). RNAcentral's name for it is "long non-coding RNA (GMAX_LNC004697)". The record is from RNAcentral. Lineage: Eukaryota; Viridiplantae; Streptophyta; Magnoliopsida; Fabales; Fabaceae.